AUGAACGCUGGCGGCGUGCCUAAUACAUGCAAGUCGAGCGAACAGACGAGGAGCUUGCUCCUCUGACGUUAGCGGCGGACGGGUGAGUAACACGUGGAUAACCUACCUAUAAGACUGGGAUAACUUCGGGAAACCGGAGCUAAUACCGGAUAAUAUAUUGAACCGCAUGGUUCAAUAGUGAAAGACGGUUUUGCUGUCACUUAUAGAUGGAUCCGCGCCGCAUUAGCUAGUUGGUAAGGUAACGGCUUACCAAGGCGACGAUGCGUAGCCGACCUGAGAGGGUGAUCGGCCACACGGGAACUGAGACACGGUCCAGACACCUACGGGAGGCAGCAGUAGGGAAUCUUCCGCAAUGGGCGAAAGCCUGACGGAGCAACGCCGCGUGAGUGAUGAAGGUCUUCGGAUCGUAAAACUCUGUUAUUAGGGAAGAACAAAUGUGUAAGUAACUAUGCACGUCUUGACGGUACCUAAUCAGAAAGCCACGGCUAACUACGU
Molecule: ribosomal RNA, 495 nt
Filed under: uncultured bacterium
Lineage: Bacteria
Description: partial 16S ribosomal RNA
Rfam family: Bacterial small subunit ribosomal RNA
Source: RNAcentral